GGCAGGAUAUCUCAGUUGGUUAGAGAGCACGGCUCAUACCCGUGAUGUCGUGGGUUCGAGUCCCACUCCUGCCACCA
RNAcentral lists this transfer RNA (77 nucleotides) under Malacoplasma sp. Its description in RNAcentral is "tRNA-Met". It matches the Rfam family "tRNA". From Rfam's summary of the family: Transfer RNA (tRNA) molecules are approximately 80 nucleotides in length. Their secondary structure includes four short double-helical elements and three loops (D, anti-codon, and T loops). The record is from RNAcentral. Lineage: Bacteria; Bacillati; Mycoplasmatota; Mycoplasmoidales; Mycoplasmoidaceae.